Long non-coding RNA from Cyprinus carpio carpio, 1523 nucleotides. The record is from Ensembl. Lineage: Eukaryota; Metazoa; Chordata; Actinopteri; Cypriniformes; Cyprinidae.
CAGAGGAAACCGUUGUGCAUCCACAUUCUUCUGUCGGGAGAGAUGGAGUAAACAGUUUAGUCUCUAGUCUCGAUUUUCAGAGGUGGCUGUAUAGCGUGAGUACUAAAAUGUAUAAAUAUAAUACGCUACAAGAAAAGAUUUACGAGACCUCAAAUAUGUGCCUGUGGGGGAAAAAAAAACAAGAAUUCAUAACAAGUACAUAUACGGCACGUCUGGUAGUGAGCCACCAUUGGGCUGCUUUUCAUCAUGCUCUUUGAUGACUGGCGCCACCAGAGGGUACAGAGAUCAAACAACAGAUAAGAGAUAGACACCACGAGGGGAACACAGUGCACACGGCCCAAACACAACAUACGAUCAUUCUUGCUUCAGAACAAACACAUGUGGAAGGAGCAGGGACAAUGAUGUGCUGGACAGUUGGAGCACCAGUCCGCCUCCAUUGUAUUGUUGAUGAUCCUUGUGCCAUAAAAGUACAAGUAAAACCCAGAAGCAGACUGUCAAAUGGCUUAUUUUAUGGCCUUUGUGUUGUGACAUAAUUUUCAUGCAUUAAGCACAUUUAACAUAGUUGUUGUAGUCAAACCCAUGGGGUAAACAGCAUUAGGUCUGGUCCAUGUCGCAGUGUAUCCUAGCCAAAAUCGUCCCUUAUUGACAUGUAUCACUGAAUUCAAUGAUGACCUGCCUUUUUGCAUUAUUGACACACUAUUUUCCCAUUUAAUUCUAUACAGUUGCUUUGACACAAUCUGUAUUGUUAAAAGCGCUAUAUAAAUAAGGUGACUUGACAUGUAAAAUGACCUUUUAUGUGGCAUUUAGGGGUGAAUUUACUGUAUCUGCAUUACCAGUGUGAAAAUUAAUGUAGGUAAUGGUGCAACAGUCUCUAAGUGAAAGUGAAAGUCGUGACAUUUGCCAAGUAUGGUAACCCAUACUCGGAAUUGGUGCUCUGCAUUUAACCCAUCCAAGUGCGCACACACACAGCAGUAAGAAGUAAACACACAGUGAACACACUCCCGGAGCAGUGGGCAGCUAUAUCCAGCGCCCGGGGAGCAACUAUGGGUUCAGUGACUUGCUCAAGGGCACUUCAGCCAUGGGUAUUGAGGGUGGAAGAGAGCGCUGUUCAUUAACUCCCCCCCCACCUACAACUCCUGCCAGCACCGAGACUCGAACCUGUGACCUUCGGGUUACAACUCUCUAACCAUUAGGCCACAGCUGCCCCCUAAGUGGAUGCACAGAAAACACCAGAAAAUCAGUGACCUUCAGCAUCUGAAAUGACUGCUGAAAUAAUGAAUAAAAGUCCUUAACCUGUCAUGAAAAUAAUGUCACAGUGCAAAAGUUGUAAGAUUCCAAAAACCAACUUUAUAUUUUUUCGCACAGAAUUUAAUAUAGAAAUUGUAGUAGUAGUAGUGAUAAGAAUUAUUUAUUCUUUUUUUUUUUAUGUGUACUCAGUAGGAUAACUUGUCAUUUUAAUCAUAAUUUACAUAAAUAUAAAUGUAUACAAGCCAGUUUGAAAAGAGAAUUAAAUACAAAUGGGA